This 370-nucleotide unclassified non-coding RNA is filed under the name uncultured fungus. RNAcentral describes it as "sequence contains ITS1". The stretch from base 1 to 107 matches the Rfam family "5.8S ribosomal RNA", at positions 50 to 154 of the family's 154-position model. The record is from RNAcentral. Lineage: Eukaryota; Fungi.
GAAAUGCGAUACUUGGUGUGAAUUGCAUAAUCCUGUGAACUAUCGAGUCUUUGAUCGCAAGUUCCACCCGAAGCCAUUAGGUUGAGGGCACAUCUGCCUGGGUGUCUCACGUUACAUCGCCCGUAUCCCCUCCCCCCGAAAGAAAGGGUUGCGGGUGGAUGUUAGCCUCCCACGCGGACCCACGUGUGGUCAGCCUAAAAAUGAGUCCUCGUGAGAGAUGAUGCAUCACGACAAGUGGUGAUUGACAAACUGUUGUGCCACCUCGUGCACGUUGAAGUCAUCACGGGAGGCCUGUUGUGACCCUAUCGCACCAUUGCCAAGGCACUCCAAUCGCGACCCCAUGUCAGGCGGGAUUACCCGCUGAGUUUAA